ACGUACACUCCUGCGGGAGGCAGCAGUGGGGAAUUUUGGACAAUGGGCGAAAGCCUGAUCCAGCCAUGCCGCGUGCAGGAUGAAGGCCUUCGGGUUGUAAACUGCUUUUGUACGGAACGAAACGGCCUUUUCUAAUAAAGAGGGCUAAUGACGGUACCGUAAGAAUAAGCACCGGCUAACUACGUGCCAGCAGCCGCGGUAAUACGUAGGGUGCAAGCGUUAAUCGGAAUUACUGGGCGUAAAGCGUGCGCAGGCGGUUAUGUAAGACAGUUGUGAAAUCCCCGGGCUCAACCUGGGAACUGCAUCUGUGACUGCAUAGCUAGAGUACGGUAGAGGGGGAUGGAAUUCCGCGUGUAGCAGUGAAAUGCGUAGAUAUGCGGAGGAACACCGAUGGCGAAGGCAAUCCCCUGGACCUGUACUGACGCUCAUGCACGAAAGCGUGGGGAGCAAACAGGAUUAGAAACCCUGGUAGUCC
RNAcentral lists this ribosomal RNA (475 nucleotides) under uncultured organism. RNAcentral describes it as "partial 16S ribosomal RNA". It matches the Rfam family "Bacterial small subunit ribosomal RNA", at positions 329 to 796 of the family's 1533-position model. The record is from RNAcentral.